Astatotilapia calliptera (eastern happy) is the source of this 3991-nucleotide long non-coding RNA. The record is from Ensembl. NCBI's taxonomy places the organism in Eukaryota, Metazoa, Chordata, Actinopteri, Cichliformes, Cichlidae.
CUCAUCUAUAUGUUGUUAAAAUGAUGAUGUGUCGUUGUUGGUAGGACUUUUGUCAUAUUAGGUUUUACCUGAAACAGUUGAAUUUUACAGAAAUUUGCACACUGUUUCCUCUAGAAAAUACCAGUUUAGCUUUCCUUAUUUAUUUGUAGCUGGUUUAUUAGUCAAAAAGUGAAUCAAUUAUUAGCUGUUCGGUUUAAAAAUUCAAAACGACCUUUGGUUCUAGCUGCUCCAGUAUGAGUAACUUUCAUGUCACUUUAAGCAAGUAUUCUUGGGGUUUUUUUAAUUGUUUUUGAUCCAUUUUUAGAUGUUUGUUGCCUUGGCCAACAAUUCUAAAAUUGAAUUUAAUGACAAAUAGUGUAGCUGUUUAUACAUUUGCCUAACAAGCUAAAAAUCCCCAGGUCAAUCCCAGGAGGAGACACAAAUCCACAAAUCCGUUUGGGGGGGUCUGGAAGGGCAUGCAGUGUAAAAAUCUGCAUAUCAAAUAUGCAAAGCCAUCCACUGUGGUUCACCCCUUGUGAAUAAGGGAGCAGCCAAGAGUAGCUGUAUAUUUAAUGACAAAUAGUCCUGGAGUUUUUCAAACAUCACCAAACCAUAGCAGCCUUACAUGAUAGCACAAAUCUGAUUUAUGGAAAAUAUUUGCAAUCCCAGACCACGUCUGGGAAUUGGACAGCUGUUAAAGGGACCGUUCACCCCAAAAUUAAAUAUCCAUAUUUCUUUUAAAUCAGCUUAAAGUAUUGAAGCAUUACUAGACAAAAGACGAAAGGUUGAGCAGAUUCCUUCAUCAACCCCUGUCCUUUAACAUCAUCCACAGAGGGUAAGUUCUGUGCAGGUUCUGGAGGACAGCGUAGCUCCUGGCUCUGCUGGUGGAGGUGGAGGCCGUGAAAGGGACCCACUCCACCCUGAGAGGACCUGUGAAGGAGACAGUGGAAAAAAAGCUGCUAGAAGCUCUGACUCCUUGGUACCACAUAGUCACAGCACCCUACUCAGCAAACCCUAGAGUACCCACAACAAGGGGGCUAGGGUCACCAUGGAUCAUCAGAAGCUGUUGCCGGGUAGCGUGGCGGCCGUGACUCCACUGUCCUUCUGUCGAUCCUGCAAAGGCACGAGCGCGGACUCCUCUCACCUCCACCUUGGCACCGCAGAGUCACUGUCGCUCUGCAGGUCUGACCCUCUACCCCAGAAACUCCUGGCCCAUUUGGCAGAGAGCCGAGGGACAGAAUUGUGUCCUCUCAGCCCUUACAUGCUCCGUCUCUCUGGGGCAGGGUUCGCCUACUACGCUCCUGGGCCGGAAACCUCAGUGUGAACACAGAUGCAGACUCUGAAGCUUCUGCAUCUCAGAGAUCCGUGAAUUACACAACGCAGACAUGUUCAAACACAUCUGAAGCAUGGACACUCCAUGCUAAGUUCACCAUGUGCAUUUUUGGGCUACACCUGAGUGAAAAACCCUUUAGAUAGUAUUGCCCUUACUCCUAAUUCACAUACUUGUCUCAUUUUUUUUUUCUUUUUUUUUUUUGGUUUGAUUCAGCAAAUUCCCUGCUCAGACUCUUACUUGAAAAAGUUUAUGAGCAAAAGGAGAACCAUGUGCGAAAAUGCUUCUCGCACUGUGGAGCUGUGCCGUUUGAACUGUUGAACCUUUUUGUAUUUCCUCGUCUCAUUUUCAGUCUGACACUCUUGCCUGGUCCUCCACUUUUGCGUCCCCUUUUUUCGCUUCUUUGUAAAUGUUUGUCGGAAACAUUUAUGUACAUUUUGUGGUCUGGCCAAGUAAGGGGGAUAGCCUUCAAGCUCAGCCCUUUAGGUGUGCGUGCGUGUGCAUGAGCGUGAGUACGCAUGAAUUUUGCCUGUUUAUUGUAUGUUUGUAUGUGACACACCUUUGCCUUACAGGUAACAACACAGCAGCAGGCUAGGAGCCAAAGGAGAAAGGUGUUUAGAUUUAGAAAAACUGGAAAAAAAGAAGCAUAAGUGAUGUUUUUACAAAGCCUUACACACAACCAUCAGCUGAAGGAGAGAGGCGGGGGAAAUCUGAAGAGGGAUGUGCAGUAUUUUAGCCACCCUGCCUUAAUUCAUAGAUGCCCUUUUUUUCCCUUUUAAACUGAUUAUAUGUGGUCACUUUAAACACAUUUGUGAGAGUACAAGGAGGUUCAAAGAGCAUAGAUAUAAAUAUAUACAGUACAAUGAGUCUAUUAUUCCUCCUACUUUCUUUUACCCUCACAAUUGUGUCGAGCUUUGUUUCCCUUAUCUGUCAGCGUAGCAUGUCAGAUCUCUCUCUGCAUGCUGAUUUAUUCUUCUCUCAGUUGUUCCACAUCCCUCUUUGUCCCAGACAUCAUUCAUCACCAAACCUUUCAUGGCACUUGUGUUUUGUUUUUUUUCCUUUUCCCUGAACAGUUAGCAAAACUGCACCCUCUCCUGCCACCACGUGGUUGUGCAGGGUAACAGCAGCAGCCUGGGACUUGUUUGCGUGUUUGUUUGUGGAUGUCCUAAAUGACUUGCUACUCCUCCCUGUUGCAUUGUGCUCGUGUGUUUGCUGCUGUGCUCCGUGUUAUGCAAAAGUUAACGUAAGAAUGCUAAUGUUGUCACGUUAUAAGGGGCUGUCUCUGUGUCACAUAAUUCCAUGAGGCUUUUUUUUUUUUUUUCUUUUUUUGUACUGUUCGAAAAUUAUUGAUGUCAGUCACUAUUGAUGUGUGGAUGUAAAUUUAAAAAAACAAUAUUGAUCUAUAUUGUGGUGAGAAGGGGUGUUGGAUAGAUUUCAUUUCUUGUAAGAAGGUGGGAGACUUGAAUCGGCGAUGUCACAAUCAAAUCAAUGAGAAUGUUGAAGUGAUUUGUCCAUCACGUCCUCCAGCUGAAGAUUGUAGCUCAUUUUCGGUGAACCUCUUUUUCUGCAUUUCUAAAAAUCUGAAUUUUGUUGGGUUACAUAGCAAGUUACUGACUCUGGAAGUCAUGAAUGUGAGAUUUUCUUCUUCUUUUUUUUUUUUUAUACAUUUAUACGGUUUCAUACACAUCACCAUUUGCCAAUAUGUAUAAAAUCAUUAAUCUGGACUCUUCCUUUCAGUUUUCACUCCACAAGCCUCCACAGGUGUGGAGGGGCUCAACAUCCCGACCUCAGCGAUAAAAGGAACGUACUUGGUGCUUGUAACACAGUGUCCCACCUCACUGUGCCGUUGCCAUACCGUAUCGAGACAUAGUCUAAAUGUCAUAUUCUACAAUAAUAAUGUAACUUUUGUGAUAUGACGGGGAAGCAUUUGUUGUAAUUCAGACAUGUUUAGUAGCAAAUUCCUCCACAUUUCAAAUUUUCACCACUUAGUCAAUUUUUGUGUUGUCCAUUGUGUAUAUUUUUUUUGCUACUUUUGUAUCUCAGAGAGAAGACUAUAUUUUAACUCUAUGCUAGAGUAUGUGGUCGAGUUUGUAACCAAAACGAGAGGAAAAAACUAAGAUUCAUUAGAUUUACCAAUAGUUAUACACAGUGCACUUUGUUUUACAACAGAUCUGUUUGACCAUUCAAAACCAGGUCUUGUCUUGUCAGCUGGGGUUUAUGGUUCACUCUUCCUCACAAGUUAUUUUUCUAACAAGAUUGUAUUGGGUGAGAAGGGGAGGGGAAAAAAAGAAGUGACCAAAUAACUUGACUAGGAAUGAACUGUCUGUAUGUGUCAGCUCUGUCGCAAUGGAUUUAUCACACCAGCCUUCUACUGCUGAUCAGAAUGUCAAACUGCUUUUUUCUAAGUCCAUCAGCACAACAGCAGGUGCUCAUCUUGUCACUCCUGAGCUUGGCAAAGGUCUGAUAUGUCGACUUCUGUGCUCUGAGCAGCACACUUCAUAUCAUACCUUUUUAGUACGGCACUGUUUGUAUUACUAAACAGGUUUUGAGAAAUUACUUUUUUUCUGUUUUGGAUAAAAGAUUUUAAAAGUUCACCUGUUGACUUUUUGCCAGCCUGUCUGUAGCAAAUGAGGGCAAAGCACUGUAUUGUCAUUCUGCUUGUAAUAAAGAGUGAAAACACUU